This 476-nucleotide ribosomal RNA is filed under the name uncultured bacterium. Its description in RNAcentral is "partial 16S ribosomal RNA". It matches the Rfam family "Bacterial small subunit ribosomal RNA", at positions 28 to 506 of the family's 1533-position model. The record is from RNAcentral.
GCUUAACGCUGGCGGCGUGCAUAACACAUGCAACUCGAACGAUGAAACUUUAAUGAACCCUUCGGGGAGAAUUAAAGCGGAUUAGUAGCGAACGGGUGAGUAACGCGUGAGUAAACUGCCUUACACAAGGGGAUCGCCUUUGGAAACGAAGAAUAAUACCCUAUAACAGCAUAAAAGCACCAGAAAUUAUGGUCAAAGUGAUAGCGCUGUAAGAUGGACUUGCGUCUGAUUAGCUCGUUGGUGAGAUAAAAGCCCACCAAGGCAACGAUCAGUAGCCGGCGUAAGAGAGUCUACGGCCACCUGGGGACGGAGACACGGCCCAGACUCCUACGGGAGUCAGCAGUGGGGAAUUUUCCACAAUGGGGGAAACCCAGAUGCAGCGACUCCGCGUGAUUUAGAAGGCCUUCGGGUUGUAAAAAUCUUUUGUAUAGGAAGAAAAUGACAGUACUAUACGAAUAAGUUCCGGCUAAUUACGU